This 402-nucleotide ribosomal RNA is filed under the name Kocuria rosea. RNAcentral's name for it is "bacterial SSU rRNA". It matches the Rfam family "Bacterial small subunit ribosomal RNA", at positions 1054 to 1452 of the family's 1533-position model. The record is from RNAcentral. Lineage: Bacteria; Bacillati; Actinomycetota; Actinomycetes; Micrococcales; Micrococcaceae.
GUCAGCUCGUGUCGUGAGAUGUUGGGUUAAGUCCCGCAACGAGCGCAACCCUCGUUCUAUGUUGCCAGCACGUGAUGGUGGGGACUCAUAGGAGACUGCCGGGGUCAACUCGGAGGAAGGUGGGGAUGACGUCAAAUCAUCAUGCCCCUUAUGUCUUGGGCUUCACGCAUGCUACAAUGGCCGGUACAAAGGGUUGCGAUACUGUGAGGUGGAGCUAAUCCCAAAAAGCCGGUCUCAGUUCGGAUUGAGGUCUGCAACUCGACCUCAUGAAGUCGGAGUCGCUAGUAAUCGCAGAUCAGCAACGCUGCGGUGAAUACGUUCCCGGGCCUUGUACACACCGCCCGUCAAGUCACGAAAGUUGGUAACACCCGAAGCCGGUGGCCUAACCCCUUGUGGGAGGAG